RNAcentral lists this ribosomal RNA (404 nucleotides) under uncultured bacterium. Its description in RNAcentral is "bacterial SSU rRNA". It matches the Rfam family "Bacterial small subunit ribosomal RNA", at positions 29 to 429 of the family's 1533-position model. The record is from RNAcentral.
AUUGAACGCUGGCGGCAGGCCUAACACAUGCAAGUCGAACGGCAGCACAGAAGAGCUUGCUCUUUGGGUGGCGAGUGGCGGACGGGUGAGUAACACGUAGGAAUCUACCCAGUAGUGGGGGAUAACCUGGGGAAACCCAGGCUAAUACCGCAUACGCCCUGAGGGGGAAAGCGGGGGAGUCUUCGGACCUCGCGCUAUUGGAUGAGCCUGCGUCGGAUUAGCUAGUUGGUGGGGUAAGGGCCCACCAAGGCGACGAUCCGUAGCUGGUCUGAGAGGAUGACCAGUCACACCGGAACUGAGACACGGUCCGGACUCCUACGGGAGGCAGCAGUGGGGAAUAUUGGACAAUGGGCGCAAGCCUGAUCCAGCCAUGCCGCGUGGGUGAAGAAGGCCUCGGUUGUAAG